Molecule: transfer RNA, 25 nt
Filed under: Manis sp. LCT-2010
Lineage: Eukaryota; Metazoa; Chordata; Mammalia; Pholidota; Manidae
Description: partial tRNA-Phe
Source: RNAcentral
UUAAAGUUAAUGUAGCUUAAAAUUA